GUCAGGACUGGGAUAUCAUCUGGGACACAUUACCCCACAGUCAGAUACCUACAGCCGCUGAGAGCCGGUAUUCCAACGCCAUGAGACGCCUUCUGUCGUGAGCAGUUGACAAGAAAGACCCAGCACUUACUGCAACCGGAAGGAGCGGUUCCUCCCUCGCUCGCGCAGCCGCUCUUCCCCGCCACUCCCUCGGUGCCCGCCAGCACAUUCCCAGCAAGCCCUGAGUAUAUUUGCAUAUCAACUCACUACAUUUUUUUCUUCUAACUAAAAAAUCGAAAGGACAAAUUCCAGAUUCUCCUUGUGAAGUCUUCC
RNAcentral lists this long non-coding RNA (312 nucleotides) under Homo sapiens (human). Its description in RNAcentral is "HSALNT0003955". Lineage: Eukaryota; Metazoa; Chordata; Mammalia; Primates; Hominidae. The record is from RNAcentral.